UUCCUGGAUUCUUCAGUGAUGAUGAGCAGAGUCUGAGUGAACCUGCUGUCAGACAGGUUGGCCUGAUUGACGAUGUCAUCGUUUCUAUAGACAGUUGUGAACGUGCUGACAGCUGGUUGCCCAGGCUAUGGAUUAAAGGUAAUACUGUUGGCCAGCAGAGCCCUGCUCACCCUGUCGGCCCACCGCUGCUGUCAGACAACAUCUCAAAGAUGCUAUAAACUGCAGGACCAGAUGGCCAUCCCAAGGUUUCUAGAGAUUACAGCAGCUCCAGACUGAAUCCAAACUCACUUUUGAAGACUUCAGAUGACACCCAAGGCUCACAAAGACUACAGACGACAACUGUACAUGAACACACAAAACAUUGGACACACAAAACAAAUAUUAUCCUUAUUUUGCCUAUAAGGGUAAAUUUGAUGAUUUUCAAACUACUUUAUUGUAACGUCUCUUAUAUCUGUAAAUGAACAAUAUUUACUCUC
Carassius auratus (goldfish) is the source of this 476-nucleotide long non-coding RNA. RefSeq lists it as uncharacterized. The transcript is spliced from 4 exons. The record is from RefSeq and is a predicted model, not a curated record. Lineage: Eukaryota; Metazoa; Chordata; Actinopteri; Cypriniformes; Cyprinidae.